GUUGGGAAGCUGUUCCAAAGAGGGUGACAGGCCCGUAUGCGAAAUCUUGUACUCUCUAAUCAGGAUCCUGAGUACGGCCCAGCACGUGAAAUUGGGUCGGAAUCUGGGAGGACCAUCUCCCAAGGCUAAAUACUAACUAGUGACCGAUAGCGAACAAGUACCGUGAGGGAAAGGUGAAAAGAACCCCGGAAGGGGAGUGAAAUAGUUCUUGAAACCGUGUGCUUACAAGAAGUUCGAGGCCGUUAAUGGCUGAGAGCGUGCUUUUUGUAGAAUGAACCGGAGAGUUACGAUUGCGUGCAAGGUUAAGGUGCAAAGACUGGAGCCGUAGCGAAAGCGAGUCUUAAUAGGGCGAAUCAGUACGUAGUUGUAGACCCGAAACCGAGUGACCUAUCCAUGGUC
This 399-nucleotide ribosomal RNA is filed under the name Oenococcus oeni. Its description in RNAcentral is "bacterial LSU rRNA". It matches the Rfam family "Bacterial large subunit ribosomal RNA", at positions 341 to 741 of the family's 2925-position model. Lineage: Bacteria; Bacillati; Bacillota; Bacilli; Lactobacillales; Lactobacillaceae. The record is from RNAcentral.